RNAcentral lists this ribosomal RNA (253 nucleotides) under uncultured bacterium. RNAcentral describes it as "partial 16S ribosomal RNA". It matches the Rfam family "Bacterial small subunit ribosomal RNA", at positions 524 to 776 of the family's 1533-position model. The record is from RNAcentral.
UACGAAGGGGGCUAGCGUUGCUCGGAAUCACUGGGCGUAAAGCGCACGUAGGCGGAUUGUUAAGUCAGGGGUGAAAUCCUGGAGCUCAACUCCAGAACUGCCUUUGAUACUGGCGAUCUCGAGUCCGGGAGAGGUGAGUGGAACUGCGAGUGUAGAGGUGAAAUUCGUAGAUAUUCGCAAGAACACCAGUGGCGAAGGCGGCUCACUGGCCCGGUACUGACGCUGAGGUGCGAAAGCGUGGGGAGCGAACAGG